GCCGAGUUUGUGAAUUGCAUGAAAUUAUAUUGUGCGUGCUGCCUGUUGGGUUAUUAUAUGUGUUUUAUGUAGGUUGAAAUUUUUGGGAUUGUUCAAAUUACAAGGGGGACUCUGCCAAAUUUUCGGUAGAAAGUCUCAGACUUUAGUAAGUGGGCCCUAUUUUGGGGUGAUGUCGGAAUUUCUACAGGUUUCAUCUCGGGUUUUGAGAAAUUCGGGGCGGGUCCUGUCAACCUCCCCUUCUAGUUUAUACUAUCUUGUCUUAAAAAAGAAACGAGGGAAUGCAUAAAGGAGAACAAAGGAAAUACAAGUGAAGAAGGGUAAAUUCGCAAAUAUUUAUUAAAGUUUUGUUUCUCUCCCAUAAUAAUGUCAUCAAAAAGAUGCUCCCAUCCAAAAAAAAAAAAACAUAAAUUGACAUGGCCUUUAAAAGUUUACAAUAUUAUAUUGCAAUUUUUUGAAAAGCCUCGAGUCCUUGACUUUUCUUAACCGAAAGUUCAAAGUGUUGGAAGGACAAAGUGAACAUGAAAUAGAGCAAGAUUGAGAAGAGUAAACAAUAAAAUGAAUGAGGGAAAGAGAUAUAGAAUCCAGAAUGAUGCUCAGAAGAUUCAACAUGGUUGUAUCAUUUCCGCUAUAGACACAUGAAUUUUGAUGGCUUGAAAACUCUACAACAUAAAAAGGAUGAUAAUGUGUUUUCCCCGAAUCAAUGGCCCUCAAAAUUUUAUGAGGAAUGUGGUGUUGGAAAACAUCAUGAUUCUUUUAAGAAGAAGC
Molecule: long non-coding RNA, 765 nt
Filed under: Prunus persica (peach)
Lineage: Eukaryota; Viridiplantae; Streptophyta; Magnoliopsida; Rosales; Rosaceae
Description: long non-coding RNA (PPER_LNC003591)
Source: RNAcentral